Molecule: ribosomal RNA, 253 nt
Filed under: uncultured bacterium
Lineage: Bacteria
Description: partial 16S ribosomal RNA
Rfam family: Bacterial small subunit ribosomal RNA
Source: RNAcentral
UACGUAGGGGGCUAGCGUUGCUCGGAAUGACUGGGCGUAAAGGGCGCGUAGGCGGUUCGUACAGUCAGACGUGAAAUUCCCGGGCUCAACCUGGGGACUGCGUUUGAUACUUGCGGGCUUGAGUUCGGAAGAGGGUCGUGGAAUUCCCAGUGUAGAGGUGAAAUUCGUAGAUAUUGGGAAGAACACCAGUGGCGAAGGCGACUAACUGGACAUGUAUUGACGCUGAGGUGCGAAAGCGUGGGGAGCAAACAGG